RNAcentral lists this ribosomal RNA (484 nucleotides) under uncultured bacterium. RNAcentral describes it as "partial 16S ribosomal RNA". It matches the Rfam family "Bacterial small subunit ribosomal RNA", at positions 28 to 523 of the family's 1533-position model. The record is from RNAcentral.
GACGAACGCUGGCGGCGUGCUUAACACAUGCAAGUCGAACGAUGAUGCUGGAGCUUGCUCCAGUUGAUUAGUGGCGAACGGGUGAGUAACACGUGAGCAAUCUGCCCUUGACUCUGGGAUAACUGCGGGGAACUGUAGCUAAUACCGGAUACUUUCACCGGAAGGCAUCUUCUGGUGAUGAAAGAAUUUCGGUCAGGGAUGAGCUCGCGGCCUAUCAGCUUGUUGGUGAGGUAACGGCUCACCAAGGCGACGCCGGGUAGCCGGCCUGAGAGGGUGACCGGCCAAACUGGGACUGAGACACGGCCCAGACUCCUACGGGAGGCAGCAAUGGGGAAUAUUGCACAAUGGGCGCAAGCCUGAUGCAGCAACGCCGCGUGAGGGAUGAAGGCCUUCGGGUUAUAAACCUCUUUUAGCAGGGAAGAAGCGAAAGUGACGGUACCUGCAGAAAAAGCACCGGCUAACUACGUGCCAGCAGCCGCCGUAA